UACGGGGGGGGCAAGCGUUGUUCGGAAUUACUGGGCGUAAAGGGCUCGUAGGCGGCCAACUAAGUCGGAUGUGAAAUCCCCAGGCUUAACCUGGGAACUGCAUCCGAUACUGGAUGGCUUGAAUCCGGGAGAGGGAUGCAGAAUUCCAGGUGUAGCGGUGAAAUGCGUAGAUAUCUGGAGGAAUACCGGUGGCGACGGCGGCAUCCUGGACCGGCAUUGACGCUGAGUGAGCGAAAGCCAGGGGAGCAAACGGG
This 254-nucleotide ribosomal RNA is filed under the name uncultured bacterium. Its description in RNAcentral is "partial 16S ribosomal RNA". It matches the Rfam family "Bacterial small subunit ribosomal RNA", at positions 524 to 776 of the family's 1533-position model. The record is from RNAcentral.